AGUGAACGCUGGCGGUAGGCCUAACACAUGCAAGUCGAACGGCAGCACAGUAAGAGCUUGCUCUUACGGGUGGCGGGUGGCGGACGGGUGAGGAAUACAUCGGAAUCUACUUUUUCGUGGGGGAUAACGUAGGGAAACUUACGCUAAUACCGCAUACGACCUACGGGUGAAAGCAGGGGAUCUUCGGACCUUGCGCGUUUGAAUGAGCCGAUGUCGGAUUAGCUAGUUGGCGGGGUAAAGGCCCACCAAGGCGACGAUCCGUAGCUGGUCUGAGAGGAUGAUCAGCCACACUGGAACUGAGACACGGUCCAGACUCCUACGGGAGGCAGCAGUGGGGAAUAUUGGACAAUGGGCGCAAGCCUGAUCCAGCCAUACCGCGUGGGUGAAGAAGGCCUUCGGGUUGUAAAGCCCUUUUGUUGGGAAAGAAAAGCAGCAGGUUAAUACCCCGCUGUUCUGACGGUACCCAAAGAAUAAGCACCGGCUAACUUCGUG
This 492-nucleotide ribosomal RNA is filed under the name uncultured bacterium. RNAcentral describes it as "partial 16S ribosomal RNA". It matches the Rfam family "Bacterial small subunit ribosomal RNA", at positions 29 to 507 of the family's 1533-position model. The record is from RNAcentral.